AUGAUUAAAAACGCUCAACGCAACAAGCUACUGGUUGGACUGGCGGCGGACCAUGUUCCUGAUGGAGUUGUUGUACUGCAAUACGCGGAUGAUACAAUCAUCUGCCUGGAACAUGAUGUUGAAAAAGCAGUUAACCUGAAGUUGCUGCUAUAUAUGUUCGAAAUGAUGUUUGGGUUAAAAGUUAAUUUUCAAAAAAGUGAGAUACUCACUAUGGGUGGGGAUGAUACGAUGAUAAAAGUAUAUGCUGAGCUUUUCAAUUGUGAUAUUGGUAGCUUCCCUAUUAAAUGUCUUGGUAUGCCUGUUAGCUAUACCAAUCUCAGAAAUUCUGAUUGGGAAUUCAUAGUCUGCAAAUAUCUCAAAAGAUUUGAAGCCUGGAUUGGGAAUGCCGCCUCUAUGGGAGGAAGGCAUACUCUACUAGAUUAUGUAGUGACUCAGAUCUCUCUCUACCACAUGUCCAUGUGGUUGAUGAACAAAACUUUUAUUGAAAAGCUGGAUAAACACCGGAGGAGGUUUUUCUAG
Molecule: ribosomal RNA, 519 nt
Filed under: Triticum aestivum (bread wheat)
Lineage: Eukaryota; Viridiplantae; Streptophyta; Magnoliopsida; Poales; Poaceae
Description: partial small subunit ribosomal RNA
Source: RNAcentral